GGUCACGGGGAAAAACAUCAAGGACUUCCUCCUGCAAGCGGCCAGGCCAGGCCGUGGCGGCCGCCCAGCUGGGACACCAAAGCCAGCAAAGGGAGGAGGACCUGCUCAAGGCUGCAGGGACAGCGGUGACACAGAGGGGAAGCAAACCCAGUCUUCUGGUGGCCAGGGAUGGAAAGACGUCUGAGACAAAACAAAGGAUGACCCAUCCAGAGAGGACACAGCAUGGUCCAGAGGUGGCAGAGGAUUCAAGGCAAGUUAUCCCGAAGCAUGAAAAAUCAGACCAUCUGCAUCAUCUCCCACUGAAAUCCCUUCAACAGCCUCCUGAUCAGCAUCAUUAAUAAGAUUUAACGAUGUUCGGCAGCCAGCAGCGAUGGAUCACUUACCCCACGCCAGGCCUGUGCUGAGCGCUUGACACACACUGUCUCAUUAAUUCACACCACCCUGGA
Long non-coding RNA from Balaenoptera ricei (Rice's whale), 446 nucleotides. RefSeq lists it as uncharacterized. The transcript is spliced from 3 exons. The record is from RefSeq and is a predicted model, not a curated record. Lineage: Eukaryota; Metazoa; Chordata; Mammalia; Artiodactyla; Balaenopteridae.